Long non-coding RNA from Oreochromis aureus, 1405 nucleotides. NCBI's taxonomy places the organism in Eukaryota, Metazoa, Chordata, Actinopteri, Cichliformes, Cichlidae. The record is from Ensembl.
CUGUGUGGAGCAUGAAGAUCUUUAUUUUUUAUUCCUAAAGCUCUGAUUCAUGCAGAAGAGAAAAGAAUAAAAAUAAAACAACAUAAAAUCCCAUCAUAAACCAGUCUUAAGGUAACAAAGGUGGUAUAGCAGACAUUUUAGACUCUGCAAAUAUUUGUAUACAUUUGUAGACGAGCACACUUUUAGCUCUUUAUCAGCAUUUUACACAAACAUAUAUUCACAUACUAAAGCAUUUGAACAAGUGUAUAUUUUCAAAUCCAUGUGAAGGUGAUUUUAACAAUGUAUUUAUAGUUUCCAACCAGGUCAUUUUUGUUGCUUUCACCAGUUUCUCCAGCUUUGAAAUUUUUAACUUCUAUUAGAAUUAGAAAUCAUUUCUGCGCUCAGGAAGUUUCUCAGGUUUAUUUUGUAAUAAGAGUCCGACCAAAUUAAUGAAAUCAUCUUUUUAGCUCAUGAAUAAAAAACAUUUUCCAGCCAGGACAAAGAAAGUCGGCGAGUCUCUCACAGUUCAGGUUAAAUGUGGAGUAAAACAGUCAAAUAAAUAUUGGAGAUCAUGGAGGAAAGCAGCUCUUUGUGAGGCUGUGGACCCUCUUCAUACGACCUCUCUGUGACCUUCUGUGACAUCAUGCUGCUGUGGAUCAGCUUUACAUGGAUAUACAACAACACCCAGUCUGUGAAUGGAGAUUAUGAGGAAGCUUCAGACUCAAACUACACAAGUCCUCCAUACAGUCCAGGUCACAGUCUGAUGACCCUUUAUUCAUAAAACUUUAUUUCUAACUCCAUCUGAACAUUAAGCUUUGAUUACGUUCUGUUUUGGACAUGGACAGCUGGAGACAGCUCAGCUGAAUAGUUUAUUCUUGGUAACUCUAAGCUCACUGGCUGAGGUUGUAUAGUUGGUGCAACCUCUGGUGUAAUGUCAGGAUGAGUCAGGGUCACAUCAAACUCUUAGACAUUGCUGACUGCAUGUCACCUGCAGUGAUGAUGACUCGAGUGGGUUCACACAUGCAGUAUAAUUAAUGUUUUACAAGGUGGGAAGAGGAGGAGGGGUGGAGGACGUUUCCACGCUUUAACAUCCUGUAAACUCAAUCAGUUUCUUCUUCAUCUCAUCAAACUCUUUAACCACCUUCUGACACUGAUCAGCUGACUGGAUGAUGGCGUUUCCUAACUUCUCAUCCUGCUCAGGAGUCGGAGUAAGUCUAAUGAUACUGCCGAUGAGCAUUACUAGCUCACCCAUCACGUCCAGCACUGACAUAGAUUUAAUCAUAACUCCUUUACUCUUCUCCUUCAGUUCAGACACUUUUUUGAGGAUCCUCUGAAACUCAUCCACAUUAGUCAGUGUUUUCAGCUUGAGUUUUAGCUGAUAUUUCCUCCAACUUUUCAGAUGCCAUAUUUAUUUCUUCCAGGUUCU